Molecule: ribosomal RNA, 1587 nt
Filed under: Salmonella enterica subsp. enterica serovar Bovismorbificans
Lineage: Bacteria; Pseudomonadati; Pseudomonadota; Gammaproteobacteria; Enterobacterales; Enterobacteriaceae
Description: partial 23S ribosomal RNA
Rfam family: Bacterial large subunit ribosomal RNA
Source: RNAcentral
GAAGGUGGCCUGUGAGGGUUGCUGGAGGUAUCAGAAGUGCGAAUGCUGACAUAAGUAACGAUAAAGCGGGUGAAAAGCCCGCUCGCCGGAAGACCAAGGGUUCCUGUCCAACGUUAAUCGGGGCAGGGUGAGUCGACCCCUAAGGCGAGGCCGAAAGGCGUAGUCGAUGGGAAACGGGUUAAUAUUCCCGUACUUGGUGUUACUGCGAAGGGGGGACGGAGAAGGCUAUGUUGGCCGGGCGACGGUUGUCCCGGUUUAAGCGUGUAGGUGUGUGUUCCAGGUAAAUCCGGUUCACUUUAACACUGAGGCGUGAUGACGAGGCACUACGGUGCUGAAGCAACAAAUGCCCUGCUUCCAGGAAAAGCCUCUAAGCAUCAGGUAACACGAAAUCGUACCCCAAACCGACACAGGUGGUCAGGUAGAGAAUACCAAGGCGCUUGAGAGAACUCGGGUGAAGGAACUAGGCAAAAUGGUGCCGUAACUUCGGGAGAAGGCACGCUGACACGUAGGUGAAGUGAUUUACUCAUGGAGCUGAAGUCAGUCGAAGAUACCAGCUGGCUGCAACUGUUUAUUAAAAACACAGCACUGUGCAAACACGAAAGUGGACGUAUACGGUGUGACGCCUGCCCGGUGCCGGAAGGUUAAUUGAUGGGGUCAGCGCAAGCGAAGCUCCUGAUCGAAGCCCCGGUAAACGGCGGCCGUAACUAUAACGGUCCUAAGGUAGCGAAAUUCCUUGUCGGGUAAGUUCCGACCUGCACGAAUGGCGUAAUGAUGGCCAGGCUGUCUCCACCCGAGACUCAGUGAAAUUGAACUCGCUGUGAAGAUGCAGUGUACCCGCGGCAAGACGGAAAGACCCCGUGAACCUUUACUAUAGCUUGACACUGAACAUUGAGCCUUGAUGUGUAGGAUAGGUGGGAGGCUUUGAAGUGUGGACGCCAGUCUGCAUGGAGCCGACCUUGAAAUACCACCCUUUAAUGUUUGAUGUUCUAACGUGGACCCGUUACCCGGGUUGCGGACAGUGUCUGGUGGGUAGUUUGACUGGGGCGGUCUCCUCCUAAAGAGUAACGGAGGAGCACGAAGGUUGGCUAAUCCUGGUCGGACAUCAGGAGGUUAGUGCAAUGGCAUAAGCCAGCUUGACUGCGAGCGUGACGGCGCGAGCAGGUGCGAAAGCAGGUCAUAGUGAUCCGGUGGUUCUGAAUGGAAGGGCCAUCGCUCAACGGAUAAAAGGUACUCCGGGGAUAACAGGCUGAUACCGCCCAAGAGUUCAUAUCGACGGCGGUGUUUGGCACCUCGAUGUCGGCUCAUCACAUCCUGGGGCUGAAGUAGGUCCCAAGGGUAUGGCUGUUCGCCAUUUAAAGUGGUACGCGAGCUGGGUUUAGAACGUCGUGAGACAGUUCGGUCCCUAUCUGCCGUGGGCGCUGGAGAACUGAGGGGGGCUGCUCCUAGUACGAGAGGACCGGAGUGGACGCAUCACUGGUGUUCGGGUUGUCAUGCCAAUGGCACUGCCCGGUAGCUAAAUGCGGAAGAGAUAAGUGCUGAAAGCAUCUAAGCACGAAACUUGCCCCGAGAUGAGUUCUCCCUGAGACU